ACAUGCAAGUCGAACGAACCAUCCUGAAGAUUGAAGCUUGCUUCAUGAUUCAGAUUUUGGUGAGUGGCGGACGGGUGAGUAACACGUGGGUAACCUGCCCAAAAGUGGGGGAUAACAUUUGGAAACAAGUGCUAAUACCGCAUAACAACUACUUUCACAUGAUCGUAGCUUGAAAGAUGGCUCUGCUAUCGCUUUUGGAUGGACCCGCGGCGUAUUAGCUAGUUGGUGAGGUAAUGGCUCACCAAGGCAAUGAUACGUAGCCGACCUGAGAGGGUAAUCGGCCACAUUGGGACUGAGACACGGCCCAAACUCCUACGGGAGGCAGCAGUAGGGAAUCUUCCACAAUGGGCGAAAGCCUGAUGGAGCAAUGCCGCGUGAGUGAAGAAGGUUUUCGGAUCGUAAAACUCUGUUGUUGAAGAAGAACAUGCGUGAGAGUAACUGUUCACGUACUGACGGUAUUCAACCAGAAAGCCACGGCUAACUACGUGCCAGCAGCCGCGGUAAUACGUAGGUGGCAAGCGUUGUCCGGAUUUAUUGGGCGUAAAGAGAAUGUAGGCGGUUUAUUAAGUUUGAAGUGAAAGCCCUCGGCUCAACCGAGGAAGUGCUUCGAAAACUGGUAAACUUGAGUGCAGAAGAGGAAAGUGGAACUCCAUGUGUAGCGGUGGAAUGCGUAGAUAUAUGGAAGAACACCAGUGGCGAAGGCGGCUUUCUGGUCUGUAACUGACGCUGAGAUUCGAAAGCAUGGGUAGCAAACAGGAUUAGAUACCCUGGUAGUCCAUGCCGUAAACGAUGAGUGCUAAGUGUUGGAGGGUUUCCGCCCUUCAGUGCUGCAGCUAACGCAUUAAGCACUCCGCCUGGGGAGUACGACCGCAAGGUUGAACUCAAAGGAAUUGACGGGGCCCGCACAAGCGGUGGAGCAUGUGGUUAAUUCGAGCA
RNAcentral lists this ribosomal RNA (936 nucleotides) under Lactobacillus sp. 583B1_12AVRE. RNAcentral's name for it is "bacterial SSU rRNA". It matches the Rfam family "Bacterial small subunit ribosomal RNA", at positions 53 to 957 of the family's 1533-position model. The record is from RNAcentral. Lineage: Bacteria; Bacillati; Bacillota; Bacilli; Lactobacillales; Lactobacillaceae.